AACGAACGCUGGCGGCAUGCCUAACACAUGCAAGUCGAACGAGACCUUCGGGUCUAGUGGCGCACGGGUGCGUAACGCGUGGGAAUCUGCCCUUCGGUUGGGAAUAACUGAGAGAAAUUUCAGCUAAUACCUUAUAAUGUCUUCGGACCAAAGAUUUAUCGCCGAGGGAUGAGCCCGCGUAGGAUUAGGUAGUUGGUGGGGUAAUGGCCUACCAAGCCGACGAUCCUUAGCUGGUCUGAGAGGAUGAUCAGCCACACUGGGACUGAGACACGGCCCAGACUCCUACGUGAGGCAGCAGUGGGGAAUAUUGGACAAUGGGCGAAAGCCUGAUCCAGCAAUGCCGCGUGAGUGAUGAAGGCCUUAGGGUUGUAAAGCUCUUUUACCCGGGAUGAUAAUGACAGUACCGGGAGAAUAAGCUCCGGCUAACUCCGUG
Molecule: ribosomal RNA, 433 nt
Filed under: uncultured bacterium
Lineage: Bacteria
Description: partial 16S ribosomal RNA
Rfam family: Bacterial small subunit ribosomal RNA
Source: RNAcentral